Molecule: long non-coding RNA, 3907 nt
Filed under: Capsicum annuum
Lineage: Eukaryota; Viridiplantae; Streptophyta; Magnoliopsida; Solanales; Solanaceae
Description: long non-coding RNA (CANN_LNC011938)
Source: RNAcentral
UAUUAUACAUAAUGAAGGUGUGCUCUGCUUUGAACCUUCACUUAGUAAAACAGUAACAUUUACUCUAGAGUUAGUAGUGGUGCCAUAAUUGAACUAUGACUGCUUAAGGGAAAUAAAGUAUUACUGCUUAUACACAAUAAUAAAAGUGUUGACAUAAGCUUUAAUAGGCAGCACAUUACGCCAUGUGCUAGCCCAAUUUUUCAUGAGCGUUUUUUGAGAAUAAGCCUCAUUCUCAUAGGAAGUGGCCUACUUCCACACUCAUUUAGGUGAAAUCUUUCAAGGGUGGUCCUGUAAUUUCGACACCCCACUCAUAAGAGAUACAAAAUUUCAUUAAGAGUUCUUAGACUCAACCUUCACAAAUCAUUACAGGAAUAAAAUGCACUCACAUCAUAGGAAGAAUUAAACAAUAGUGCAUCUCACACCAAGUCAUUAUAUGAUUCGUUCUUCCCCUUGAACUUGGUUAUAGGAUCUCUAGUCUCCAAGUUGGGUUUCCAUAUAUAUAACUCAUGAUAUUUUUUAUAGGCUUUCUUCCUCCCCCUCGAUGUAAUUCAGACUAUUUUCUUGCUAAGGCCUUAGUUUUGAAUCUGCAAGAUUAUCACAAAGUUAACACAAUUAAUAUUGGUAUACCAUUGAUCAAUAUGAUCUCACAAUAUUGUGUUUUUCUCAUUAUGGUCUGAAUUUUCUAUUAUAAAAAUGGUUUAUACUCUAUCAAUAAAUUUUUGGUGCUAUCACAUAACUCAAUAUUAGAGAGAUCAAUUUCUCAACAUAAAGUGAUUGAUCAAUUAACUUUUUCACUAGUUGAAGCUAAAAUAGUUAUUUCAACCUCCAUAAUGAGUUAGCAAAUCAUAAUUUAUUUCUCAUUAGUAAAUAGCACCACGUUAUUUUUUUCCUCAUUUUGCAUCAAAAACACUUUUAAGUACAACAAGCCACAAACUUUUUCUUUAACCAAGUAAAUAUACUUGAUUUGCUUGUUUAAGUACUUUUACAUAACUUCAUGCCAAGUGAAACUAGCCACAUAUUUCAUAUUUCAUUAAGCUAGUAAAAUCUUUUUUUUUUUCACACCACUUUCACAUAUUUGAAUCAAAAGAAGUUGCAUGACUAAUAUAAUCAACAAAAUGUAUUUCACAAUUUUUAUUUUUUACCAUAAUGUGACAUGUCAAGAAAAAAUUCAUCAAAUAAUUUAGGUAUUUUUCAUUCCAAGAAUGAAAUUUACCUCACCCAAUGUCAAAUGGCUACUCAACAUUUUUACUCUUUCUUUGAUAACAUGCUAGAGCCAAAUAUAAAGACGUCACGUUAUAUACAAAUUAAUAAUGACAUGUGAUUUACUCCAACAAUAAUUAUGCACUUAUAACACUUUUUUAACUCAUUCUCAAAAGUAAAAAUGUCACAAUUUUGUGGUGAUUUUUUCUCAUUUCAUUAGCCCCCACUAUUUUGAGCAUUUGAAAUAUCACUUAUGUUUAUAAAAAGUAGUAUAGUUUUAUUCAAAAUAAAAUAUUAGGUAAUUUUUUUUACCUUUUCUCCGCAACAAGUAGAAUUUUUUUUACCUUUCAUCCCCUUGAGUUGAGCAAGUAUUUUUAUCUUUCAUCCCCUUGAGUUGAGCAAAUAGAAAGAUACUUGUUAUCUCUUGCCAUCUAUCUUUUGAGAUCUCUCAUCUCGAUAUCCAUGAUUUUGUAAACAAUACCAAAACAUGAAUCUCCUUAAAAUUGUUGGUGUAAUAUACCACAUUUACAAUAAAUGAUUACAGUUGAAAAUAAAAUGAAUAAAAGCAAAGAAAAUAAAAUAAUCUUCUUCUUGGCUGAGACGCGGAUAUCUCGCUUUCUUUAAGAAGAUUCAAGCCCACUGUGACAUAAUCUACACCGAUCCAACAGUAUAUCUAGUGACUUAUCCCCUCCAGGAUACAACAGUCCAUCAAUGAUGUACAACUCAAACAACUCUGGAUUAGUUGAAGAGUCCAAAGCUCUACACCUUCCUUCAACAUAUAUUUACUUUCUUUGUAUAGUGAAUAAAGUUAAAGACUUAGAUUGUUUUCUUUGUCUCAACUCUUUCUUUCACUAAUAUAAUAACUCUCAUUUAUAAAGUGAAUAUAGUUGUAGACUUAGAAUAUUUUCUUUGUCUCAACUCUCUCUUUCACUGCUACACACUAUAAUCUAUUUCACACUUAUCAUAUUUUCUAGUCCAUGCAAUAUAACAUGCAAGACCACCUCUAUUUAUAGGUGAGGUAUUCAUCCUUGUAUUGAAUAGGAAGAAUGUGGUGUAGUAAAGUGGGUUCAUGAAUAGUUGGAUGUUACAUGAGUUACAAUUAUAAUUACAUAGUAUAAUGGAAAAAUAAAGACUUAGUGGUUAUAGGAGUUUCAAGAAACUUAUGACCACAUUCUUCCACUAACAAAUGUAAGUAAUAAUACUCAGAAUACACAAUUUAUACCCACUAACAUAUGCACUUAAUAUAUUAAUUUCAUAAUAAAAUGAAUAUACACCAACACUUACUGGGGCAAAACUGAGAAAAUAUGAGGUUGGGGAUUGAAGCCCAAACGUGUCUCUACAAUUUACACAAAACACUCAUUUUUGCAGCUUCAUCAAUAGUCAAAUUCUCCUGAAUUUGGUGUUUGACAUUAAUGGGAAGAUUUGUAACUCUAUCAAUACGUUCGCCAGCUUCAAUUUUGAGUCCCUUAGAGGGAUCCAUUAGUGUGACUUGAGAGUUGUUAUAGAAGGCAAGGCGUGUAUGAUAUAUGAAUGAGUAGAUAGACUCCUAAUUGACUUUAAAUAGGGUUGGGACUUUUAGUCUACAAAUAAUAUCAUGGCAUUACUGUUAAAAGGGUCAUAAGGUAUGCAGUUUUUCUUUUCUAUUUUUCAUUACAUGGGUCUUUUUAUUUUUUGUUUUGGGGGAGGAGAGUGUGGAGAAGUUGUGGGAUUUGUGUUAAAAGGUGGAAUUGUAUGAAUUUGAGUUAUGGGUUUUCUUUUUUAUUUUGUUGUUGUUUGCAAAGAAAAUUUUUUGUGUAAAGAAGCAACAAUUUGAACAGGCACGACACCAACAAGAAUUUCGCUUGAGUUAAAAGGAUAUGUUGAAUUAAGGGUCAUGGGUCGCUCAUGUGACCCGAACCAACCCGACUCGACCUAGUUUUUUAAUUUGUUUUUGAAUUAUCUGACAAAAUAAGGGGAAAAAGAAGAGAUAAGUUUAAUUUUAAAACUUGGGGGGAACGGUUACUGUUCCACUUUCCCAAUAUAUUACCACUUCUUUUCCUAUGUAAAAGUCAGAAAAACAGUAACAAAAGGCCAAAUGGAAAACAACAACAAGGCAGUGAAACUUUAAGGCAUUUAGUUUGUGAUUCUAUAACUUUGUUUCCAAGAGAUUCAAAGAAGACGUGGGGCAGAUCUUUUCGGUUGCAAAAUCAAAUUCCGCUGCAAGUUUAAGGUACACACUGAUUUAUGUUUUUGCUCCGAAUAAACUAACAAUGGCAUCAGAGACGGGUUUAUUGCCCCGUUUUUACAUGUUAUUUUUUUAAGUUUAAGAGAAAUUUAUGUAUGAACAUACCUGUGAGAAAAUCUUGAUUAUUGGUUGUAUGAAUUUUUGGAUCUGAUUAGAAGCGCCGCCAUGGCGGGUUUUUUUUUGGCGGAUCCUGUUAGAUGCCUGUCAAACGCGUCGCUAAAAUCUGGUUGGACGCACCCCAAUUCAGAAAGACACAUCAAUUUUUUUUAUUUGACCUUUCACUUUAAUUUGCUGUUGUGAUUGUUAUGGUUUCAAAUGCUAUGAAGCACUUUUGUAAUUUUUAAGAACAAAAAAAAUAAAAAAUAUAAGGUUUGAUUUAUGCGGCUUCAGAAGAAGGAAAGAAAGCUGCUCCCCUUUUGUUUUUUUCUUUUUAUAAGAAAUAGUAAAGUUUUUGUUUGACUUUAAGAGAGAAGUACUUUUGAG